This 1355-nucleotide unclassified non-coding RNA is filed under the name uncultured Neocallimastigales. RNAcentral's name for it is "partial contains internal transcribed spacer 1, 5.8S ribosomal RNA, internal transcribed spacer 2, and large subunit ribosomal RNA". The stretch from base 595 to 1355 matches the Rfam family "Eukaryotic large subunit ribosomal RNA", at positions 1 to 619 of the family's 3401-position model. The record is from RNAcentral. Lineage: Eukaryota; Fungi; Neocallimastigomycota; Neocallimastigomycetes; Neocallimastigales.
AAAAUAAUCCUACCCUUUGUGAAUUUUGUUUGUUUGAAUAAUUUUUUUUUUAAAAAAUUAUUGGAGUCUUUCCCUUUAGAGUUUGCUUUUGAGUUUGUAAAAGAAUUCGAAAACAUCUAAAGGGGAUGGUCAAUAAUUUUUUUGAAAAAAGACAUUUUUUAAAAUUAAACUUUUGUAUUCAUUUGUCUAAAAAUUAUUUUUUAUAAUAUAAAAACAACUUUUGACAAUGGAUCUCUUGGUUCUCGCAACGAUGAAGAACGCAGCAAAAUGCGAUAAGUAGUGUGAAUUGCAGAAUACGUGAAUCAUCGAAUCUUUGAACGCAUAUUGCACUUUUUUAGUUUACUAAAAAAGUAUGUCUGUUUGAGUAUCAGUAAAAUAUUCUCAUAAAAAUCAUUGUGUAUUUUUAUGGUUAUGAGUGUUUUACAACGAUACAAGUUGUUUCACUCUAAAUUUUUUUUUAAUAUUGAAAUUUUUCUAAUUUUAAUAAUUAAAAUUGGAUAAAAUUUUCCCGUCAAAAGGAAUAACCUAAACAAUUUUAAAUGAUUAAUUUUAGCAAAAUUUUCGAAAAAAAGGAAAAUUUUUAUUAAAAUAACUUGAUCUCAAAUCAGAUAAGAGUACCCGCUGAACUUAGGCAUAUCAAUAAGUGGAGGAAAAGAAACUAACAAGGAUUCCCUUAGUAACGGCGAGUGAAGCGGGAAGAGCUCAAACUUGAAUCUUCAAGGUUUUACCUUGACGAAUUGUAGUUUAAAGAAGUGUUUUCUGCUGAAGUUUUGGUAAAAGUUCUUUGGAAUAGGACAUCAUAGAGGGUGAGAAUCCCGUAUUUGACCAUUAUUUUCAGCUUUGUGAUACACUUUCAAAGAGUCGGAUUGUUUGGGAAUGCAGUCCAAAAUGGGUGGUAAAUUUCAUCUAAAGCUAAAUAUUGGCGAGAGACCGAUAGCGAACAAGUACCGUGAGGGAAAGAUGAAAAGAACUUUGAAAAGAGAGUUAAACAGUACGUGAAAUUGUCAAAAGGGAAGCGUUUGACACCAGUGUUGUUUUUCUCGAAAAUCAAUUAAAAAUGGCUCGAUUUUGUAUUGCUUGAGACCUUAAAAGCUCACUGUACAUUUUUCGUGUCUUUUUUAAUGCACUUUUCGUUUAACAAGUCAACAUCAGUUUCUUUUGUUGUAAAAGGGUCAUUGGAAGGUGGCUUUCUUUUCGGAGAAAGUGUUUAUAGCCUUUGGCCUCUGCAAUCGGAGAGACUGAGGUCUGCAGCGUAGACUCUUCGGGGUUAGAUACAUUUGUGCUAAGUUAUAGCUUUUUAUAGACAACUUGUUGACUAUAAUUAGUCUUGUAGCUUACUCGCUUAUGCUAUUUUA